This is a non-coding RNA of Pantherophis guttatus, 218 nucleotides long. Lineage: Eukaryota; Metazoa; Chordata; Lepidosauria; Squamata; Colubridae. The record is from RefSeq and is a predicted model, not a curated record.
AACAGUGUCAUGACAUUAGAUGCCUAUCAACGAAGAGAAAAGGUUGAUUUUUAAGUGACUACGGUGCACAGAAGCUGACCGCACAGCCAGCACUGUUACAGACUCUCAUCUGCAGCUCAUACCAGGUUGCCUCCUGAAGAUCAUAUACUAUAUAUGAUUUGAUAAUUUAGAUAUUAGCAUCAAUAGACAGCAUAUGAAGCAAAUAAAUCAAAGCACAU